GACAGUUUCUCGCUGGGACUCUCGGGCCACUUUUGUGUCCGAUCCGCAACGGCCAACGCCCUGCGACAUUCCCCGGCUCGUCAGGAAUUCUCAAUUCAAUAGCAUUUUAAGAGAGUUUUGCCAGGGCCGGAGAGAGAGAGGUUGAGGCGCUUGCCUUGCACGCGGCCCACCCUGGUUUGAUCCCUGGCUUUCUGAUACUCAUUGCCAAUUCCCUUACCCCUCAACUUUGCUGGCUGCGUCACUAUUUCACCCUAACAUUUUUUCUUACUGAUCUUAAGUUUUGAGGAAAAUAGGGACUGGAGCGAUAGCACAGCGGUUAGGGCGUUUGCCUUGCUUGCGGUCGACCCGGGUUCGAUUCUCAGCAUCCCAUAUGGUCCCCUGAGCACCGCCUGGAGUAAUUCCUGAGUGCAAAGCCAAGAGUAACCCCUGUGCAUCGCCAGGUGUGACCUAACAAGCAAAAAAAAUUAGAGAAAAAUAAAAUAUCCUUAACAGUUGGUUUCUAUUAGAUUUCUAGGGAGAGGAAGAGGAAAAGAAAAAAAAUCAGAAGGUUAAAACUAUUUACAUUGAUUUCUGGGCUGUUCAGAAGCCAUAGAUCAUGUUCUCAGCAGUCAUCUUGGGAAAUAAUCAACCUUUUGAUAGGUAGUCUGGCUGGCUCACCAAAUUAUUGAGAUUAUAUGGUACUGUAGCACCAAAUUACCAAGGUAAUCAUCUGAAGAAUGAAAGCUCCAGAGGUGAGACAAAUCAUCCAACAAGCACCAGCAGAGUGUAUGGAGAGGCACAGAAUAGGGGGAGAUAGCUACUAUAGUGUUAGCAACCUCCUGCCUGGCCUGACAUGAAUUUGCCAGCUAAGUGUGAAAGGAAGGUUAGGACUAGUAAAAGUCUUUACAAGCUCCUGCCAGUUUCACUAAAAGCAGCCAUCUGGGCUGGAGUGAUAGCACAGCAGGUAGGGCGUUUGCCUUGCACACUGCAGACCCAGGUUCGAUUCCCAGCGUCCCAUAUGGUCCCCUGAGCACCACCAGGAGUAAUUUCUGAGUGCAGAGCCAGGAAUAACACCUGUGCAUUGCCAGGUGUGACCCAAAAAACAAAGAAAUAAAAGCAGCCAUCUAUGCACUUGAGACUACUCUGGUCUCAGCCACUUGAGUUUUGGGGGAGCCAUAGUUUCCAGCCUGAGGGAAUGUAUACUCUGCAGGAAAAGGAAAAACUCCCACCCUCCAUUUUGUAGAUUCACUUAUCUACAGAAAUGAAUUUGAGGGGAAGUAGAAAAGUUUUAUUAGGAAGAAUGAGAAACGAAGGAGUGAGUCAAACAAAGCUGAGGAAAGAAAUAAUGCACUCUGAGUUAGGAUUUGUGGGAAACUCCAAGAUGUUGGUCUGUGAAGCAAAAGGAAGAGGAACUAUACCCAAGCCUGGAUGUGAGCAAUUCCAGAAUGAAAUACUGUAUGUGUCGGUUUUAAGAUGGCCCCAACAAGUGCUAUUAUCACAAAUGAUUAGUAAUUUUGUUUUUGGACCAUACCUGGCAAUGCUCAGGUCUUACUCCUGGUUCUGUGCUUGGGAGUCACUCUUGGCAGUGCUUGGGUAUAUUCUGUGCUGGGGAUAGAAUUGGUGUUGACUGCAUGUAGCAAAGCACCCUACCUGCUCUCCAAUUUCUCUAACCCCCACUUAGUCACUUUUGGCAGCAGGGGGUCGAGGUGGCGGCACAGCUGGCAGUCCUCAAGGCUUAUUUCCUGGCAGGGAAUCAAUCCUGGAUCAGCCACAUGCAAGACAAGCACCUUACCUGCCAUACUAUUAGGCUAAUACUUUUUUUUUUUUUUUUGCUUUUUGGGUCACACCCGGCGAUGCACAGAGGUUACUCCUGGCUUUGCACUCAGGAAUUACUCCUGGUGGUGCUCAGGGGACCAUAUGAGUUGCUGGGAAUCGAACCUGGGUUGGCCGAGUGCAAGGCAAACGCCCUACCUGCUGUGCGAUAGCUCCAGCCCCAGGCUAAUACUUUUUAAUCACAAAAUGUUGCGUAUAAAAAGUGACUGAUACUUACAAUAUAUAUCGCCAGCACUCAACUCUGUCCCUGUCAGCAAAAAUAAGGAAAAUCUGAGAGUGUCAUACCUAGAGAGGAAUAAGAAGACAGGACAACUUAAUGUAAGAUUCCUAGUAGAAUAGAAAAAAUCCUGGAAUAGAAAAGAAAACACUGUGGCUUAAAAACUAAAUAUAAACUAUGGACUUCACUGUAUCACUGUCAUCCCAUUGCUCAUUGAUUUGCUUGAGCAUGAACCAGUAACGUCUCCAUUGUGAGACUUGUUACUGUUUUUGGCAUAUCAAAUACGCCACGGGUUAUUUGCCAGGCUCUGCUGUGUGGGCAAGAUACUCUCGGUAACUUGCCAGGCUCUCUGAGAGGGGUGGAGGAAUCGAACCAGGGGGUCCGAGUGCAAGGAAAAUGCCUUACCCGCUGUGUAUCGAUUCAGAAAAAAAUUACUGUUUUCAUAAAUCUUACUCUCACCUGGGCCGCAGAAUGUCCAAACCCAGAGAGAAUACAGAGAUGAAGGAAUCAACACCCGAGAGACUGGUGCUCACCAAGCAGCCUCCUUUUGCUGCAGUGAAGAGCCUCAUCAACUCCCCGCCAAGAGAGGAGUCUCUGUCUUGGAGAGAAUAGAACAAACCUUUGCUGGAAUCCUUUCUUCUUUCGCACUCAUCUACAGAAAAGAAGACUGCAUAAGCAUACAUCCUUCAAUUGGAGGGAACACCAGAAGCAUCUCGCUGCCAGAGAAGACUGUCAGUAUCAAAGGUACUGCCCAUGAGAAAGAAGCCGAGAUGGCGAACAACCUCAUGCCGACUGUCAAGCAGUCCAACGAGAUGCAGUGGGAAUAUCACAACAUGGCUACGGACAUCAUCUCUGCCACACAAAAACCACACCCCGUAGCCCGACUUGAUAUGCAACUCAUCCAGCAGCUGCGGUCCCUCAUCCCCCAUGAGAGGAAGCUCAUUGCUCAUGUGAUCCAGACUCUGAAAAUGGACCUCUCUGAGCCCCAGGUGCAGCUGGAGUGUGCCAACCUCCUCUCCAGAACCGGCCUCCUGAUGAAGCUUCUCCGUGAGCAGCAGGAAGUAAAGGUUUCCAAGACAGAAUGGAAUACAGACCAAUGGAAGACUGAGAACUACAUCAGUCUGAGUACGGAAGGCCAGGGUGAGCAGAAACAGCCAGAGGCAAGUGAGAGUAAGAAGAGUCCAUAAGAAACAUGGAAGGGGAGUUCUUGAAGGUUUUCCAGGCCCGAAAGAAGAAUAGCAGCACCGAGCUGAUCAUUAAACCGGAGAAAGCCUCAUCAGAGAGAAACAGCCUGUCCCUUUUCAUGAGUGAGCAGCUAGACUUCAAUGAUGAGAGCGAUAUCAUUACUGUGCGAAAUUAUAUCAUGCCUUAUUUCCAGGAUGGAACAUAGAAGAUGUUGAAUCAACAUUGUUCCCCUUCAUUAAGCUCCUUUUUUCAACUAUGCAAGAUGGAGCAAAUCCUCUGGAUCCUUUAAAGAACAGCACAAUUCUGAUGUCUACAGCCCACAUCCAACAAUUCAACAUACAAUAAGUUGAAGUCCCAUAUUCUGGAAAGCUUGCGAAGUGCAGAAAUUCAAGAAAAAAAUCCACGAAGCUAGAAAGAGAGAGAAAACUGCCAUGCUGGUCCGUUCCAGUCUUUUUGGGCCCAAAAUUCAAUGCCAAGCCAAAUAUUUCUGAAAAAAUUGAAAACUGUCUGGCCAAAGAGAAAAUGCUUAAGAAAGGUUGAGGAGGGGGAGAGGCAAGCCCUGCAAAUGAGCAGCGUGCUCAAGGACCCAGUAUGUGUGGGGGGUGCGGGGGGGGUUCGUCCAGAAGAGGCACUUCAAAGAAGGGGCCAAUCACCUCAGCCAAAGGAAAGGUAGGGCUCGGCCCAUGGCAGGGAGUGUUGUCCUAGAAAGAAGGCUCAGGCAGCUGGCCCCAAGGGAACCAAAAGAGCUUCUCUUGGCGGGGAGGCCCAGGAAAUUGGUGGAAAACUCCUUCAGUGAGGAGUCAUCCUUCAUCUAGGAGCACAAGCCGGCGGUCUCCACAGCCCUGGAACAGUCCUCCAUGGACAGCCCGUCUGCCGCCACUUCUUCUAAAGUCCCACCUAAGUUGAAAAACAAAUCCAAAGACUUGAAAAACACUCUCUUCGUUUUGGAAGAUGCAGAUGCUUGAGUGUUGGGGUCUCAGUAGCUGGCCUGAGACUUUGACGAAACCCCCUGCCCCUGAAAGCAAGAGCCGGCCCUGUUUCCAGGGGCCCUGCACUCCACACACUCCUGCAUUCCACACACAGGCACUCUGGUUGAGGAGACAAUCGGAUGAGGGGUGUGACAGUUAACAUUUACCUGAGCUAGUUAACCCGGCCCUGAGAUUGGGGAGUACAAAUCAUUAACUAGCAUCUAUACUGAGCUCCACGAGAUAAGAGUGAUAUAUGCGUGGAGUACCCCCCACCCCAGAUUAUGUGCAUAAAAUCCCCUUGUAAGAAUCAAUAAAUGGAGUCUGCUUGACCACCAGGCUCCCCCGCUCUGCUCGGUGACCUUCUCGGUCAGGUUCUUUUUUGGUAGUAGGAAUCCUGUGGCGAGCAGAGGGCCAGGGCAGAGGCUUCUCCCCUUCCCACUCACUCUCCCAUAGGGAGUAAGUCCGGUGACUUCAGGGCUCAUACUCCAGUGUGCCGGGAUUGACUGGCCAGGACCCCGACACUCAAAGUUUUGAGCAUGAAGUUUCCCAGCCCCAUGCCACACAAUAGAAGAAAUUACCAUUUUCAUAAAUCUUACUCUCACCUGGGCCACAGAAUGCCCAAACCCAGAGAGAAUACAGAGAUGAAGGAAUCAACACCCGAGAGACUGGUGCUUGCCAAGCGGCCUCCUUUUGCUGCAGUGAAGAGCCUCAUCAACUCCCUGCCAAGAGAGGAGUCUCUGUCUUGGAGAGAUCAGGACAAAUCCUUUCUUCCUUCACUCAUCUACGGAAAAGAAGACUGCAGAAAGCACACAUGCUCCAAAUGGGGGGAACACCAGAAGCAUCUCACUGCCAGAGAAAACUGUUGGUAUCAAAGGUACUGCCCAUGAGAAAGAAGCCGAGAUGGCAAACAACCUCAUGCCGACUGUCACGCAGUCCAACGAGAUGCAGUGGGAAUAUCACAAUGUGGCCACGGACAUCGUCUCUGCCACACAAAAACCACACUCUGGAGACCAACUUGAGAUGCAGCUCAAUCAGCAGCUUCGGUCCCUCAUCCCUAACAAUAAUGAGAGGAAGCUCAUUGCUCACGUGAUCCAGACUCUGAAAAUGGACCUCUCUGAGCCCCAGGUGCAGCUGGAGUGUGCCAACCUCCUCUCCAGAACCGGCCUCCUGAUGAAGCUUCUCCGUGAGCAGCAGGAAGUAAAGGUUUCCAAGGCAGAAUGUGAUACAGACCAAUGGAAGACUGAGAACUACAUCAGUCUGAGUACGGAAGGCCAGGGUGAACAGAAACAGCCAGAGGCAAGUGAGCUCACAAAAGAAGUUCCGGGAUAUGGCUAUAAUAAUCUUGGCAAUAUCUGUGACUAUAGUCGUGAUAGUCACUUGUCACUUGUCAUCCCGUUGAUCUUCGAUUUGCUCGAGCAGGCGCCAGUAACGUCUCCAUUCAUCCCUGUUGCAUGCUAGUGUAGCCCAAUGGUAUCUGUUCGCUCCAGGAACAUGAUCGUGAAUGAGCUCAAGAGUUUCCGAAGACAGGCGUCUGUUUGUGGUUUUUCCACUCUCAGCAUUCCUCAUGCAGUCAUGGAUGUGCUGAACCAGUCAAUCAUAUUCCUCGUCGAUGUUGUCAACAAUGGCAUCUUCGCACAUUGCCGAAAUAGUGCCAGUUGGUGGUUAUUCUGGGAGUUCUCUUCUUAAACUUAAACUUUGCAGUCCUUUCUCCCCAAACUGUGAAGUAGAAUUUUGCAUGAAGGAGAAGGUGGUCCGAUCCUGUUUGGAAUUUUGGGACAACAGCAACAUCAGUUACUAAGAACUAAAGGAAAAUAAACUAUAGACUUCUGUUAAUAUAUCAAUCAACCUGGUUCAUUUGUUGCAACACAUGUACAAUAUAAGUGUUAAUAAAAAGGAAAUUUGGGACAGUGAACAUUAAA
This is an RNA transcript of Sorex araneus (European shrew), 6101 nucleotides long. It is a transcript of the gene named leucine-rich repeat-containing protein 37A3-like, with no coding region annotated. The record is from RefSeq and is a predicted model, not a curated record. NCBI's taxonomy places the organism in Eukaryota, Metazoa, Chordata, Mammalia, Eulipotyphla, Soricidae. The transcript has 4 exons.